RNAcentral lists this ribosomal RNA (253 nucleotides) under uncultured bacterium. RNAcentral describes it as "partial 16S ribosomal RNA". It matches the Rfam family "Bacterial small subunit ribosomal RNA", at positions 524 to 776 of the family's 1533-position model. The record is from RNAcentral.
UACGUAGGUUGCGAGCGUUGUCUGGAUUUACUGGGCGUAAAGCGCGCGCAGGCGGUCUUGAAAGUCGAAUGUGAAAGCUCCCGGCCCAACUGGGAGAGGCCGUUCGAAACUUCGAGACUUGAAGGCGGGAGAGGCAGAUGGAAUUUCCGGUGUAGCGGUAAAAUGCGUAGAUACCGGAAGGAACACCAGUGGCGAAAGCGAUCUGCUGGCCCGCCCUUGACACUCAGGCGCGAAAGCUAGGGGAGCGACCGGG